AGAGUUUGAUCAUGGCUCAGAUUGAACGCUGGCGGCAGGCCUAACACAUGCAAGUCGAGCGGUAGCACAGAGAGCUUGCUCUCGGGUGACGAGCGGCGGACGGGUGAGUAAUGUCUGGGAAACUGCCUGAUGGAGGGGGGAUAACUACUGGAAACGGUAGCUAAUACCGCAUAAUGUCGCAAGACCAAAGUGGGGGACCUUCGGGCCUCAUGCCAUCAGAUGUGCCCAGAUGGGAUUAGCUAGUAGGUGGGGUAACGGCUCACCUAGGCGACGAUCCCUAGCUGGUCUGAGAGGAUGACCAGCCACACUGGAACUGAGACACGGUCCAGACUCCUACGGGAGGCAGCAGUGGGGAAUAUUGCACAAUGGGCGCAAGCCUGAUGCAGCCAUGCCGCGUGUGUGAAGAAGGCCUUCGGGUUGUAAAGCACUUUCAGCGGGGAGGAAGGCGGUGAGGUUAAUAACCUCACCGAUUGACGUUACCCGCAGAAGAAGCACCGGCUAACUCCGUGCCAGCAGCCGCGGUAAUACGGAGGGUGCAAGCGUUAAUCGGAAUUACUGGGCGUAAAGCGCACGCAGGCGGUCUGUCAAGUCGGAUGUGAAAUCCCCGGGCUCAACCUGGGAACUGCAUUCGAAACUGGCAGGCUAGAGUCUUGUAGAGGGGGGUAGAAUUCCAGGUGUAGCGGUGAAAUGCGUAGAGAUCUGGAGGAAUACCGGUGGCGAAGGCGGCCCCCUGGACAAAGACUGACGCUCAGGUGCGAAAGCGUGGGGAGCAAACAGGAUUAGAUACCCUGGUAGUCCACGCCGUAAACGAUGUCGAUUUGGAGGUUGUGCCCUUGAGGCGUGGCUUCCGGAGCUAACGCGUUAAAUCGACCGCCUGGGGAGUACGGCCGCAAGGUUAAAACUCAAAUGAAUUGACGGGGGCCCGCACAAGCGGUGGAGCAUGUGGUUUAAUUCGAUGCAACGCGAAGAACCUUACCUGGUCUUGACAUCCACAGAACUUUCCAGAGAUGGAUUGGUGCCUUCGGGAACUGUGAGACAGGUGCUGCAUGGCUGUCGUCAGCUCGUGUUGUGAAAUGUUGGGUUAAGUCCCGCAACGAGCGCAACCCUUAUCCUUUGUUGCCAGCGGUUAGGCCGGGAACUCAAAGGAGACUGCCAGUGAUAAACUGGAGGAAGGUGGGGAUGACGUCAAGUCAUCAUGGCCCUUACGACCAGGGCUACACACGUGCUACAAUGGCAUAUACAAAGAGAAGCGACCUCGCGAGAGCAAGCGGACCUCAUAAAGUAUGUCGUAGUCCGGAUUGGAGUCUGCAACUCGACUCCAUGAAGUCGGAAUCGCUAGUAAUCGUAGAUCAGAAUGCUACGGUGAAUACGUUCCCGGGCCUUGUACACACCGCCCGUCACACCAUGGGAGUGGGUUGCAAAAGAAGUAGGUAGCUUAACCUUCGGGAGGGCGCUUACCACUUUGUGAUUCAUGACUGGGGUGAAGUCGUAACAAGGUAACCGUAGGGGAACCUGCGGUUGGAUCACCU
Molecule: ribosomal RNA, 1529 nt
Filed under: Klebsiella pneumoniae BIDMC 22
Lineage: Bacteria; Pseudomonadati; Pseudomonadota; Gammaproteobacteria; Enterobacterales; Enterobacteriaceae
Description: bacterial SSU rRNA
Rfam family: Bacterial small subunit ribosomal RNA
Source: RNAcentral